Molecule: ribosomal RNA, 264 nt
Filed under: uncultured bacterium
Lineage: Bacteria
Description: partial 16S ribosomal RNA
Source: RNAcentral
CUGCUGCCUCCCGUAGGAGUUUGGACCGUGUCUCAGUUCCAAUGUGGGGGACCUUCCUCUCAGAACCCCUAUCCAUCGUCGUCUUGGUGGGCCGUUACCCCGCCAACUAACUAAUGGAACGCAUCCCCAUCGAUAACCGAAAUUCUUUAAUAUCAAGAUCAUGCGAUCUUGAUAUCCUAUCGGAUAUUAAUCUUUCUUUCGAAAGGCUAUCCCCGAGUUAUCGGCAGGUUGGAUACGUGUUACUCACCCGUGCGCCGGUCGCCA